RNAcentral lists this ribosomal RNA (1018 nucleotides) under Enterococcus hirae. RNAcentral's name for it is "partial 23S ribosomal RNA". It matches the Rfam family "Bacterial large subunit ribosomal RNA", at positions 332 to 1353 of the family's 2925-position model. Lineage: Bacteria; Bacillati; Bacillota; Bacilli; Lactobacillales; Enterococcaceae. The record is from RNAcentral.
GUCGAAUGACUUGGAAAAGUCAGUCAAAGAGGGUAAAAACCCCGUAGAUGAAAUUUGGAAGGCACCUAGGAGGAUCCUGAGUACGGCGGAACACGAGGAAUUCCGUCGGAAUCCGGGAGGACCAUCUCCCAAGGCUAAAUACUCCCUAGUGACCGAUAGUGAACCAGUACCGUGAGGGAAAGGUGAAAAGCACCCCGGAAGGGGAGUGAAAUAGAACCUGAAACCGUGUGCCUACAACAAGUCAAAGCCCGUUAAUGGGUGAUGGCGUGCCUUUUGUAGAAUGAACCGGCGAGUUACGAUUGCAUGCGAGGUUAAGUUGAAGAGACGGAGCCGCAGCGAAAGCGAGUCUGAAUAGGGCGUUUGAGUAUGUAGUCGUAGACCCGAAACCAUGUGAUCUACCCAUGUCCAGGUUGAAGGUGCGGUAAAACGCACUGGAGGACCGAACCCACGUACGUUGAAAAGUGCGGGGAUGAGGUGUGGGUAGCGGAGAAAUUCCAAACGAACUUGGAGAUAGCUGGUUCUCUCCGAAAUAGCUUUAGGGCUAGCCUCGGAAUUGAGAAUGAUGGAGGUAGAGCACUGUUUGGACUAGGGGCCCAUCUCGGGUUACCGAAUUCAGAUAAACUCCGAAUGCCAUUCAUUCAUAUCCGGGAGUCAGACUGUGAGUGAUAAGAUCCAUAGUCGAAAGGGAAACAGCCCAGACCACCAGCUAAGGUCCCAAAAUAUAUGUUAAGUGGAAAAGGAUGUGGGGUUGCACAGACAACUAGGAUGUUGGCUUAGAAGCAGCCACCAUUUAAAGAGUGCGUAAUAGCUCACUAGUCGAGUGACCCUGCGCCGAAAAUGUACCGGGGCUAAACAUAUUACCGAAGCUGUGGAGUACACCUUUAGGUGUAUUGGUAGGAGAGCGUUCUAAGGGCGUUGAAGGCAGAUCGUGAGGACUGCUGGAGCGCUUAGAAGUGAGAAUGCCGGUAUGAGUAGCGAAAGACAGGUGAGAAUCCUGUCCACCGAAUGACUAAGGUUU